RNAcentral lists this long non-coding RNA (511 nucleotides) under Lathyrus oleraceus (garden pea). RNAcentral's name for it is "Pisum sativum (pea) long non-coding RNA (PSAT_LNC000761)". Lineage: Eukaryota; Viridiplantae; Streptophyta; Magnoliopsida; Fabales; Fabaceae. The record is from RNAcentral.
AAGGAAUCAAAAUACCUCGAGGUUGGAUUAUAUCGCCGGUACGCGUCGUCGGAACUCUAUUUUCCGGCGAGCUUCGUAUCUCUUCCUUAUGCAUUAAACCUAUUGCUUUUUUUUUGUAUAAAUGAUUGUGCAUGCCUUUUACCAUACUGUUGCGAUUUGUUUUGGUUGUUGGUGAAUCUUAAGGUUGUUUGUGUGCGUUUGAAUCGGUGGCUUAAGGAUAGUUUUGUUGUUAUCGAUUUAAGUUGAUGGGUUUAAGGUAAGUGUUGGAGGCACUUAAGGGUGUAGAAGUUCCGUUUAGGGAUUUAGAGAGAGGAUUGAAAAAAGGUUUAAGGUAUUCACGGUUAGGAAGAAGAAGAACUAAGGAAGGAGAUUCUAAAAGAAGUGGUCCUGGUUAAGUGAAGAAGUCUCGUUUUUGACCCAACUAUAAUUAAUGUAUCUCUUGAACUUUCUAUCUAACAAAUGACAAAUAUUUUUUAAAAGUGAGUUGGUGUUUAGUCUCCCCAUGCCUCGG